RNAcentral lists this long non-coding RNA (347 nucleotides) under Lathyrus oleraceus (garden pea). RNAcentral describes it as "Pisum sativum (pea) long non-coding RNA (PSAT_LNC014262)". Lineage: Eukaryota; Viridiplantae; Streptophyta; Magnoliopsida; Fabales; Fabaceae. The record is from RNAcentral.
UCUCAGUGCUUUGGUAAGACCCUUGUCAUGUGAGUCUCAGGCUUUGAUAAGUUCCUACUUUUCUUUCUUACCAUCUUAGACCCAGUGCUUUGCUAAGACCCUUUUCAUGUGAGUCUACGCCUUUGACAAGUUAUCCUUUAUGUUGGUUUAAACACCAUUGCAAUUUCCUUUCCUUUUCAGGGAUACACAUUUAUGGUUAACCCCCUUCUUUCCUUUUGGUUUAAACACCAUCCCCAAUCAUAUAUUUUUCUCAAUUUUUGUCCUCUGAACUACGGAGCUCUUACUUCCUUAUUGCACUAUAAGGAUACGUAGGCACGAGGAUGUGAAUCCUUGGCGAACACCUUUCU